RNAcentral lists this ribosomal RNA (492 nucleotides) under uncultured bacterium. RNAcentral describes it as "partial 16S ribosomal RNA". It matches the Rfam family "Bacterial small subunit ribosomal RNA", at positions 29 to 507 of the family's 1533-position model. The record is from RNAcentral.
AGUGAACGCUGGCGGUAGGCCUAACACAUGCAAGUCGAACGGCAGCACAGUAAGAGCUUGCUCUUACGGGUGGCGAGUGGCGGACGGGUGAGGAAUACAUCGGAAUCUACUUUUUCGUGGGGGAUAACGUAGGGAAACUUACGCUAAUACCGCAUACGACCUACGGGUGAAAGCAGUGGAUCUUCGGACCUUGCGCGAUUGAAUGAGCCGAUGUCGGAUUAGCUAGUUGGCGGGGUAAAGGCCCACCAAGGCGACGAUCCGUAGCUGGUCUGAGAGGAUGAUCAGCCACACUGGAACUGAGACACGGUCCAGACUCCUACGGGAGGCAGCAGUGGGGAAUAUUGGACAAUGGGCGCAAGCCUGAUCCAGCCAUACCGCGUGAGUGAAGAAGGCCUUCGGGUUGUAAAGCCCUUUUGUUGGGGAAGAAAAGCAGCAGGUUAAUACCCCGCUGUUCUGACGGUACCCAAAGAAUAAGCACCGGCUAACUUCGUG